AUGGCUCGGCAGAAGGCCGGGGAAGCUAGAGUGGUCCUUUCGCACACCCUAGAGGCGGAGGCGUGGCCAGGGAAGGCUGGAGGCGGCGAGCGCCAUGGCCGGUGUUGGCGGUUCGGGACGACGACGGCUAGCGCGCUACGAUCGACAGCAAUUCGAUUCCUUCCUAGGCGAGGGUCUAGGGACUACGAGAAUCCUUACCCGUGUGUGGUUGGAGUGGAGACGGUCCGAGGCGGCGUGGCGACGAGCUCCCUAGGCGGUCGGCGGCGAAAUUGGUGGCGGCAGCUCUCCGGUCGAGGGGAAUCGAGAGGGAACUCAUCGAGGCCACGGCUCGAUGGUGUGGGUUCGGCGGCGGCGCUCUGUUCGGCCGGCGCGGGGCGCGACGGUGGCGCGGCCGUUCCCAGCGAAUCAGAGGGUUUAGGUCUUCGGCUUUGGGAGUGGAGGUUGAGGGUGGUGUGGAGAGUUAGCUGGCGCGAGGGUUCGAUUUAUGCGCGAGGAAGGAGCGAGAGGCAAGUGCGGGGAAUUGUCGCGAAGUGCUCGGCGUCUCUCGCGCGCGCAGGCGGUGGUCGGCGGGGAACACGGCUUGCAGCAGGCGCCGGCUUUGCGCAGGGAUUGCAGAGGGGGUACAGGGAUAGUUACGGGGAGCCAGGGGCGGUCGGUCUCGCCUUGUCGCUUCGUGCGUCGGCUUUGGCAGGGGGCGGCGGCUCCGGGUUGGCGAGGCGCGCGGCGAGGCCGGCUUUGCCAGGCGCGGCAUCGGCGGUGCAGACGCGAGUCAGAGGGCUUUGCAGACGGAGGCAACGGCAUCGGCUUUGCGCAGGGAGGAGGCAGAGGAGGAAGGCUGCGUCGGUCUGGCUUGGUCGGCAUCGGGCAGAGGGCCACGGUGUUGGAUUGGCCACGGCGGCUGCGGUGGUCGGAGCCUGGGCGUGGCAGGGAAUCGGCAGGGACGGCGUCCGCUUUAUGCAGCCUUGGCACAGCGGGAUUCGUGGGCAGAGGGUGGCGCAGUGUCACGUCGCGUCGUUGCUCGGGCAGAGAGAGAGAGGGAGAGCAAGAGAGCGGCAGCUCCAGCAGGGGCGGAUCUAUAGUGUUAGCAUCGGUGUCAGGCGACACCGAUGACUUUCGGCAA
RNAcentral lists this long non-coding RNA (1120 nucleotides) under Oryza sativa Indica Group (long-grained rice). RNAcentral describes it as "lncRNA OsMH63_02G015640". The record is from RNAcentral. Lineage: Eukaryota; Viridiplantae; Streptophyta; Magnoliopsida; Poales; Poaceae.